RNAcentral lists this transfer RNA (71 nucleotides) under Escherichia coli TW09195. RNAcentral describes it as "partial tRNA-Met". It matches the Rfam family "tRNA". Rfam says of the family: Transfer RNA (tRNA) molecules are approximately 80 nucleotides in length. Lineage: Bacteria; Pseudomonadati; Pseudomonadota; Gammaproteobacteria; Enterobacterales; Enterobacteriaceae. The record is from RNAcentral.
GCGCGGGGUGGAGCAGCCUGGUAGCUCGUCGGGCUCAUAACCCGAAGGUCGUCGGUUCAAAUCCGGCCCCC